GCUUAUACUACACAGUAAUCAAUAUAUUUGGAAGUGGCGGAUCCAGUCUCUCACAAAGCAAGGCAGCCGUUUGUUCUCAUCAAGUGAAUCGGAAUAUUGAGCUUCUUUUUGGAUCCAAGAAAUGAACUUAGGGAGACUGAAAAAUGUGGUAGCUGCUGCAGCGAUUGAAGGAUUAGCCGAGGUAAGGGCCAAGAUAUUUGGUCAUGUAAUUAAUCCAACUGGGCAGCGAUCUGCUCACAAGGUUUUACGCAAGAAGCUGAUCGGUGAAAAGGUCUCACAAUGGUACCCACACGAUAUCAUGAAAGAUGACCCUCUUGUGAUGGCUCGUCAAGAGCAAGAGCGUCUCAGCAAGCUUGAAAUGUUGAAACGUCGUGGAAAGGGGCCACCUAAGAAGGGCCAGGGCAAACAGGCUAAGAAACGCAACAAAUAGAGAUGAUAGUCUCACUGGUUUGAAAUAAAGGGGUAUCUAGGAUUACUAUUUGCAAUUUGAUUACUAACUUUUCUCAUCAGCCACUUGCUUUCUAGUGAACAUCAUCUGCAUACUCUUCUACAAUUUUUUUCCAUAUAGUUUGGGCUGUUCGAG
RNAcentral lists this unclassified non-coding RNA (583 nucleotides) under Hevea brasiliensis (rubber tree). The record is from RNAcentral. Lineage: Eukaryota; Viridiplantae; Streptophyta; Magnoliopsida; Malpighiales; Euphorbiaceae.